Molecule: ribosomal RNA, 497 nt
Filed under: uncultured bacterium
Lineage: Bacteria
Description: partial 16S ribosomal RNA
Rfam family: Bacterial small subunit ribosomal RNA
Source: RNAcentral
GAUGAACGCUGGCGGCGUGCCUAAUACAUGCGAGUCGAGCGAACAGAUAAGGAGCUUGCUCCUUUGACGUUAGCGGCGGACGGGUGAGUAACACGUGGAUAACCUACCUAUAAGACUGGGAUAACUUCGGGAAACCGGAGCUAAUACCGGAUAACAUAUUGAACCGCAUGGUUCAAUAGUGAAAGGCGGCUUUGCUGUCACUUAUAGAUGGAUCCGCGCCGUAUCAGCUAGUUGGUAAGGUAACGGCUUACCAAGGCAACGAUACGUAGCCGACCUGAGAGGGUGAUCGGCCACACUGGAACUGAGACACGGUCCAGACUCCUACGGGAGGCAGCAGUAGGGAAUCUUCCGCAAUGGGCGAAAGCCUGACGGAGCAACGCCGCGUGAGUGAUGAAGGUCUUCGGAUCGUAAAACUCUGUUAUCAGGGAAGAACAAAUGUGUAAGUAACUGUGCACAUCUUGACGGUACCUGAUCAGAAAGCCACGGCUAACUACGUG